Molecule: transfer RNA, 72 nt
Filed under: Stegodyphus mimosarum
Lineage: Eukaryota; Metazoa; Arthropoda; Arachnida; Araneae; Eresidae
Rfam family: tRNA
About the family: Transfer RNA (tRNA) molecules are approximately 80 nucleotides in length.
Source: Rfam by way of RNAcentral
GCCUCCAUGGUGUAACGGUUAACAUAUUCGGCGCAUAUUCGAGAGGUCCAGGUUCGAGUCCCGGCGAGGGCU